Zea mays is the source of this 3008-nucleotide long non-coding RNA. RefSeq lists it as uncharacterized. NCBI's taxonomy places the organism in Eukaryota, Viridiplantae, Streptophyta, Magnoliopsida, Poales, Poaceae. The record is from RefSeq and is a predicted model, not a curated record. The transcript is spliced from 3 exons.
GAACCUAUUGAGGCACAUGUUCGGCAACCUGUAGAGCAAGCUGUUCCUAGCCGACUUCACGCUUGCAGGAGAUUUGGCAUCCAAGAGUAAUUCAGGGCAACCUGUAGAGCAAGCUGUUCCUAGCCGACUUCACGCUUGUAGGAGAUUUGGCAUCCAAGAGUAAUUUAGUACUGGAAGCAUAUGAAGUCUGAGAUACAAAAGGAUUCCUUUUGAAACAUUAUGGAUAUGAGUGCUAACCUUGGCAGAUUUGCAGCAUCUUUGAAGAAAAAUGAUGGUUGGGUUAUGAAUAUAUUCCCUUUUACAAAAUAAGGAAGCUAAAGAUUAUAUGUGAUCGUGGUUUAAUGGGAACUGCCCAUGAUUGGUAAGAUUCUCCUGGCAAUCACAAAACUAGGCUAACCUCAACACAUGGUAAGCACCAAUUGCAAACUGCAUUUUUUACAAAGUUGUUUUGUAGCACUAAUUUUUUUUGUACCUUUUCAUCUCAGAGCUACUAUUAAUUUCAUAACAAUCCCAUUGUACUCUCGUGUUGCAGAACUAUUCUCCUGGCAAUUUGUAUAACGAACUAUGCUUUUGUCAUCAUUCUAUGUCUCAAGCUCCACUUUGAAAUGUGUAGGUUUGUGAAAUGGGAUGAUGAUAUAAGUUUAGGUUUCGAUACAAAUUCUUUAAGAGGUCUAUUUUCUGAUUUAAAAUGACAAUGGACGUAGUUUACAUUAUUCAAAAUACAGUUGUGAUACAGAAGAGCAAACAAACAUUGUAUUUAUGUGAAAUAUGUUUCCAAAUGUGUUGCCCGUAUUUUUUCCAUUGUAUAAUAGUUCUGUAAAAAUACUCCCUUGUUUUCACCUAAUGCCUUUUUGUGGUUCUACUUCUUUUUUCUUUUGCACACUGAUCAGUUUAUUUAUGUAGUUUAAUUCACAUAAUUCCUAUAUAUCUUCCCAAGUGAAUCUUGGGCUUGGAGUUCAAGGAUCAAGUAUUACCUCAUCUACAACACCAGAAUUUUGAGUCCCCGGUUCUGAUGGCUUAUUUGAUUACUUUCAGAUGGCAAAAGAAAUUGCAUUGCUUGGGGUAUUUUAUCACUUAUAGUUGUUUUUCGUGCAUUGAGAAUUUACACCUAUAUGUGCAGAUGAUAUACGAGCAUAUACAUGUGAAGAACAACAAAUUUUGGCUAAAGUUGUUGGUGUGGAAUCUUCUAUGAUAACAGGAGAAAUAAACAAGCAAGUGAAGAUGACCCAAAGAUUCUAUAUUCGGUAUAUCAAGCCUUUGUACUGUAUAGGAAAAAAUUUUGUACAUGCCCUCUGACUUUUUUUGCACAUACCUGCUCAUGAAAUAGGUUUAGGUUGUGUGCUCAGUUUGUUUUUUUCUAAACACGUUAGGUUAGAUGUUUGAGUUUGGCUAAUUAGAAAAUCAAACAAACAUGCAAGGCUGAAGUUACCAAGCAGUUACAAAAUUAGUUCAAUUGUUACAUUGUUAGGAAUUCUACUCGAAUUCUUUUUGAAAUUUGGGAGUAUGGGUAAUUAUAGUUACAAUUUUGCGACAGUCUGACUUGUCCUUAAAAUAGCCUAAAGUUUCUCAGUUCAGUCAAUAAUGCUUAUAAGGUGAAAAUUAUUGAAAGGGAAGUGUGUGAGAAACUAUAAAUACAUAAACCAUCAAGGCACACGUUCAUGGGUUUUUUCUUCAAGAACUUUACAAAAUAUUUGUAAUUUCAGGAUUUUGUUUGCCGUUGAAAUUUGGAACUGUUAUAUAUUUAUAUAUAUAUAUAUAGAUGUUAGGGGCUUUACAAAAACAUUAGUGGAAAUUUGGUGAAGCAUUUAUGUCCCAGAAAAGUAAUAUGGGGUUGCUAACACGUUAUUUUAUUAGUUUAGCUUUUGGGUAUCUUUCUCGCUCUACAAGGUAUCAAGCUUUUUCUUCUUAAUUACCAUUAAACUAUAUAAUUAUAUGAUGGUUGUUAUCCCUAUGGUCUAAACAAACUGCUUGGAGUCACUGUGACAUACUCUUUUGAGUGAAAAUUCCAAGUGAUCUCAACAUAGUGAAUGUUUCGUUUACCUAGAACAUAUAUAAAUCUGUUUUGGACCUGUGUCUGAACAUCUUUGCAAUUUAGUUACCAUGCCCUUCUCGUUAUUCUGACUUCUAAGUAUAAGUGUAUAAAAAUUCAACAUUUUCAGCUUAUCUGGAUGCACCUUAUUUUGGUCUUUGUAAGGAUCUUUUGUGCUUUUCUCUUGGUAGUUGGUAUUGUCUCUUUUUGCUCGUACUUCCUUAAAACCUGACGCCUUUUGAAGCUUUGUCCGCGUUCCGCGGGUUUCCGGCCACCACCGUGUCGACGCGUGGCCAAGUUGAUCGCGGACCCGAAGCAUUCAUUCAAUAGAGCUGUGAGCGCCUGAACAGUUCCGUGUUCUCCACUUCUCUCCCACACCAUCCCUCUUAUCCUGUGCUCAGCAGCCAUUAGCACGCUCUAGGCCUCCCUCCUCCGCCCGCUCCUUUCGCCACUGCCCCUGCCGCCGCCAGCCCCUCUCCUCCACCUCCCUCUAUUUCCCCCACGGCCACCGUGAGCCCCGCCUCCGUGCAUUGGUCCUGGCCGCGGCGCGAGGAGGUGGACCACUGCGAACAUGUGGCCGAAACGAAGACCUGCCGCUGCUGGGGAUGGCCCUGACGCCACCACGAUUUGGGGACCGAGGAUGAGGAGCCCGAGGAGGUGGAGUCGCAGGCAGAGGAUCCUCGCGAGGAGGAGAACACGGAGGCGGUGCCCGUAGUUGUAGGGGAACCGGUCGAGAGCACUUGCAAGGGGAAGAAGCAAAAGAAGCACUAUGCUUCCUUCGAGUACCACGACAACAGCUUCGAGCUGGAGAACCCGUGCUUCUCAUGCCUGAGGACAGCAAUCAGAAGCCCUAUGUCGCCAUCCUCAAGGCCAUACUAUUGAUUCACAUGCCAGCUAAAUUUAGGACCACCCCGAUUGAAGGCUCUUCCCACUUAAGUAAUUCUUCUUUCUGAAUCCAUUUUUAGCUUAUUCACUUGGA